CCGUUUUAUUUAUUUUUGUAUAUAAAUUUUUAAAAUAAAUUAAUAUUUUUCAAUUUUUUUUUAUUUCCAGCAUAUCUCCUCUUCCGGUUUUUAUAUUUUCUGGAUUUUCUUAUUCUCUGAGCCUCUACUAAUGCCCAUAGUUAUCGAAAUUGACUAUUCUUUCCCAUGAUGAUUUUCUCCUACAAUUUCUUAUAUAAGGUCGCAGAUAAUGUUCUCUCCAUUCACGGAAAAUAUCGUCUCUUUUCAAGUCAAACAGAAACUUUUCAAUGAUAAAAACAAAAAAAUAUUGGUAUCAAUUUUAAGUAGUCAAAUUGAAAGAAAGGCUGACUCAAAAAUUAUUUAUACAAUUUCUGAAGAUGCUACCUAAGCUCUUGUUAUCCAGGAACAUUUUUAGAUGUGCUCAAUGAUACAAUAUAAACUACAAUUCCAUAAUGCAUCAUAUUUUUGAAAUUUUAACAAAAUCUCUGAUAUUUCAUAUAUUAUACUUGAUAGUUUUUUAUAAUAAAAAGAUAACUGUAUAAACAC
Long non-coding RNA from Gordionus sp. m RMFG-2023, 525 nucleotides. RefSeq lists it as uncharacterized. The transcript is spliced from 3 exons. Lineage: Eukaryota; Metazoa; Nematomorpha; Gordioida; Chordodea; Parachordodidae. The record is from RefSeq and is a predicted model, not a curated record.